GGAGAGGUGGCUGAGCGGUUGAAAGCGCUGGUCUCGAAAACCAGUGUGCCCUUUGGGUACCCAGGGUUCGAAUCCCUGCCUCUCCG
Molecule: transfer RNA, 86 nt
Filed under: Candidatus Zixiibacteriota bacterium
Lineage: Bacteria; Pseudomonadati; Candidatus Zixiibacteriota
Also listed under: 1 other name
Description: candidate division Zixibacteria bacterium tRNA-Ser
Rfam family: tRNA
About the family: Transfer RNA (tRNA) molecules are approximately 80 nucleotides in length. Their secondary structure includes four short double-helical elements and three loops (D, anti-codon, and T loops).
Source: RNAcentral